CAAUUAAUGAGAAGCCAAUAAAAACUGCCUUAAGAGGAUAAACUUUGCUUUUCAGACUCCCUUCCAAUGGUUAGCAUUAUGAACAGCGGGGAGCCAGGACACGGCUCAGCUCACUCAUGCCCAGAGAGAGAAACAGUUAAGCUGCUGACCCUGAAGGGAGAGCUGUCCAUGUAGCUGUGUGUGGGAGCCACCGGAUGAAGCAGCCAAGACAGAGCGAACAGUUUGAGAGACCUAGUGUGUGUAAGCUGCUGUUGAGAGAGCUGCUGAAUAAAACUACCUUUCACCUGCCUACAGCCCUCCAAGUGUUCUUUUAGCUCUCUGCUCACCCACCCACUCCCUUCAGAUCUCAGCAUGAGCUGGAACCUGACCCCAGCAUAACAUCUGGCGUAGUCAUGGACCUGACAAUUGGCAUAGUUGGCAGGAUAAGGUGAGUGGGUCUUUGGCCCCUGAAGGCUCCCGGGUUGGCUCUGUGGCUGCAGCAUGGGCUGUGGUACCUGGUGUCAGUGGUGCUGCUUGGAUGGGCCCCAAUGGAAAUGUGGGAGGC
This 544-nucleotide long non-coding RNA is filed under the name Homo sapiens (human). Its description in RNAcentral is "HSALNT0334984". Lineage: Eukaryota; Metazoa; Chordata; Mammalia; Primates; Hominidae. The record is from RNAcentral.